This 67-nucleotide transfer RNA is filed under the name Mooreobdella quaternaria. RNAcentral describes it as "tRNA-Ser". It matches the Rfam family "tRNA". Rfam says of the family: Transfer RNA (tRNA) molecules are approximately 80 nucleotides in length. Their secondary structure includes four short double-helical elements and three loops (D, anti-codon, and T loops). The record is from RNAcentral. Lineage: Eukaryota; Metazoa; Annelida; Clitellata; Hirudinida; Erpobdellidae.
AGCUAUUAGUUUAGGAAACAAUAGAUUUUGAAAGUCUAUAUUGAAUGUUCAAUUCAUUCAAUAGCUU